RNAcentral lists this ribosomal RNA (547 nucleotides) under uncultured bacterium. Its description in RNAcentral is "bacterial SSU rRNA". It matches the Rfam family "Bacterial small subunit ribosomal RNA", at positions 36 to 616 of the family's 1533-position model. The record is from RNAcentral.
CUGGCGGCGUGCCUACACAUGCAAGUCGAACGAGAAAGUGGAGCAAUCCAUGAGUACAGUGGCGACCGGGUGAGUAACACGUGACUAACCUACCUUCGAGUGGGGGAUAACCUCGGGAAACCGAGGCUAAUACCGCAUAACAUCGUGAGAUCAAAGCAGCAAUGCGCUGGAAGAGGGGGUCGCGGCUGAUUAGCUAGUUGGCGGGGUAACGGCCCACCAAGGCGAAGAUCGGUAGCCGGCCUGAGAGGGCGCACGGCCACACUGGAACUGAAACACGGUCCAGACUCCUACGGGAGGCAGCAGUGGGGAAUUUUGCGCAAUGGGGGAAACCCUGACGCAGCAACGCCGCGUGGAGGAUGAAGCCCCUUGGGGCGUAAACUCCUUUCGACCAAGACGAUAAUGACGGUACUGGUGGAAGAAGCACCGGCUAACUCUGUGCCAGCAGCCGCGGUAAUACAGAGGGUGCGAGCGUUGUUCGGAAUUAUUGGGCGUAAAGGGCGCGUAGGCGGCGCAGCAAGUCACUUGUGAAAUCUCCAAGCUUAACUUG